GUGAAUCAUCGAAUCUUUGAACGCAUAUUGCACCAUUUGGUAUUCCGGAGAGUAUGCCUAUUUGAGGGUCAUUUGAAAUAAUAUAACUUUCGUUAUUUUCUUGAAUUCAUAAAUGGGUCGGUCCAGCUUUCGUGUGGUGGUCGCCUAAAAUGCAAGACAAGCUCAUUUCUUGGGUUGCGUGAUACUUUCUGUUACCUCUUGACUUCACAAGAAAUUUUCGAGCGUGUUAAGAAUUGUGCAAGAAAUAAUGUUCAUUUAU
Molecule: unclassified non-coding RNA, 259 nt
Filed under: Ambispora callosa
Lineage: Eukaryota; Fungi; Glomeromycota; Glomeromycetes; Archaeosporales; Ambisporaceae
Description: partial contains 5.8S ribosomal RNA and internal transcribed spacer 2
Rfam family: 5.8S ribosomal RNA (bases 1-71)
Source: RNAcentral